GAUGAACGCUGGCGGCGUGCCUAAUACAUGCAAGUCGAGCGAACAGACGAGGAGCUUGCUCCUCUGACGUUAUCGGCGGACGGGUGAGUAACACGGGGAUAACCUACCUAUAAGACUGGGAUAACUUCGGGAAACCGGAUCUAAUACCGGAAAAUAUAUUGAACCGCAUGGUUCACUAGUGAAAGACGGUUUUGCUGUCACUAAAAGAUGGAUCCGCGUCGCAUUAGCUAGUUGGUAAGGUAACGGCUUACCAAGGCAACGAUGCGUAGCCGACCUGAGAGGGUGAUCGGCCACCCUGGAACUGAGACACGGCCCAGACUCCUACGGGAGGCAGCGGUAGGGAAUCUUCCGCAAUGGGCGAAGGCCGGACGGAGCACAGCCGCGGGAGUGAUGAAGGUCUUCGGAUCGUAAAACUCUGUUAUUAGGGAAGAACAAAUGUGUAAGUAACUGUGCACGUCUUGACGGUACCUAAUCAGAAAGCCACGGCUAACUACGUG
RNAcentral lists this ribosomal RNA (497 nucleotides) under uncultured bacterium. RNAcentral's name for it is "partial 16S ribosomal RNA". It matches the Rfam family "Bacterial small subunit ribosomal RNA", at positions 28 to 507 of the family's 1533-position model. The record is from RNAcentral.